GGUCACAUAGCGGAGUGGAUAUCGUAUUAGACUCCGAAUCUAAAGGUCUUGGGUUUGAAUCCCACUGUGAUUA
This 73-nucleotide transfer RNA is filed under the name Spinacia oleracea (spinach). It matches the Rfam family "tRNA". From Rfam's summary of the family: Transfer RNA (tRNA) molecules are approximately 80 nucleotides in length. Their secondary structure includes four short double-helical elements and three loops (D, anti-codon, and T loops). The record is from Rfam by way of RNAcentral. Lineage: Eukaryota; Viridiplantae; Streptophyta; Magnoliopsida; Caryophyllales; Amaranthaceae.